UACGAAGGGGGCGAGCGUUGUUCGGAUUUACUGGGCGUAAAGGGCGCGUAGGCGGCCUUGUCAGUCAGGCGUGAAAGCCCCGGGCUCAACCUGGGAACGGCGCUUGGGACGGCGAGGCUGGAGUUCGGGAGAGGAGAGUGGAUUUCCCAGUGUAGAGGUGAAAUUCGUAGAUAUCGGAAGGAACACCAGUGGCGAAGGCGACUUCCUGGACUAAUACUGACACUGAGGUGCGAAAGCGUGGGGAGCAAACAGG
RNAcentral lists this ribosomal RNA (253 nucleotides) under uncultured bacterium. RNAcentral's name for it is "partial 16S ribosomal RNA". It matches the Rfam family "Bacterial small subunit ribosomal RNA", at positions 524 to 776 of the family's 1533-position model. The record is from RNAcentral.